UCCUCUUCCUCUACGUCACUGUUUUAACAGUCAUCGGUUACAAAAGCCAGACCGAUCCUGCUUUGGACCUCGAUCAGUGCGGCGGCGUCGGAAUUCUCGGCAUCGCCUGGGCCUUCGGCGGCAUGAUCUUCAUCCUCGUCUACUGCACCGCCGGUAUCUCCGGUAAGUAUAUAUAAUCUCAACUCUCAAAUUCUCAAUCAUCAAUUCGUCUUCACUUUAGCAAAAUCACUUCGAACUACUGUUUGAUUUUUGUAAAGAGAGAUGAAGCUAACUAACUUCUGCUUGCUAAAAUACGCCAGGAGGACACAUUAACCCUGCUGUGACAUUCGGUUUGUUUUUGGCGAGAAAGGUGUCGUUGAUUAGGGCUGUAGGUUACAUGAUUGCACAGUGUUUGGGAGCAAUUUGUGGUGUAGGGUUAGUGAAAGCUUUCCAGAGCUCAUACUACGACCGGUACGGCGGCGGAGCCAACGAAUUGGCCGACGGUUACAAUAAGGGCACCGGACUCGGUGCUGAGAUCAUCGGCACCUUCGUCCUUGUUUACACUGUCUUCUCUGCCACCGAUCCCAAGAGGAGUGCACGAGACUCCCAUGUUCCUGUAAGCACCUUAUCAUCUCUCUCUGUUCUUCGACGAUAGUUUAAAAAACUAGAAAUUCACCAAUGAUGGAUACUAACUAUAUUCUACUUUAAAAAAUGGAAAUAUGAAGGUAUUGGCACCACUUCCCAUCGGUUUCGCUGUUUUCAUGGUGCACUUGGCCACCAUUCCGAUCACCGGCACCGGCAUCAACCCGGCGAGAAGUUUUGGCGCCGCCGUGAUUUACAACAAGGCGAAGGCAUGGGAUGAUCAAGUAUGUAUUUUUUGCUUUUUCUUUUCUUAAUUUCUUUAAAUUUACUUUUUAUUUAAUUAUAUGAAUUAAUAUAAUUAUUAAUUCCAAAUUUAGUGGAUCUUCUGGGUGGGACCAUUCAUCGGAGCAUUGGCCGCCGCCGUCUACCACCAGUUUGUACUGAGAGCCGCCGCAAUCAAGGCACUUGGCUCUUUCAGAAGCAAUGCUUGAGCUUGAAAGAUGUUCAUCCAUGGCUGUUCAUGCCUUGUAGAUAUCUUUGCAAAUUCCCCUUAAAAGAAUUGGGUUUCAUGUAAUUGUUAUUUAUUUUCUUCGUGUCUUAUUUAUGUGAAUUGUAAGCGUUCGUUUUUUUUUUUUUUU
This 1199-nucleotide long non-coding RNA is filed under the name Lactuca sativa (garden lettuce). RNAcentral describes it as "long non-coding RNA (LSAT_LNC000328)". The record is from RNAcentral. Lineage: Eukaryota; Viridiplantae; Streptophyta; Magnoliopsida; Asterales; Asteraceae.